UACGUAGGGUGCGAGCGUUAAUCGGAAUUACUGGGCGUAAAGCGUGCGCAAGCGGUUUUGUAAGCCAGAUGUGAAAUCCCCGGGCUCAACCUGGGAAUGGCAUUUGGGACUGCAAGGCUGGAGUUUGGCAGAGGAGACUGGAAUUCCUGGUGUAGCAGUGAAAUGCGUAGAUAUCAGGAGGAACACCGAUGGCGAAGGCAGGUCUCUGGGCUGAAACUGACGCUCAAGCACGAAAGCGUGGGGAGCAAACAGG
This 253-nucleotide ribosomal RNA is filed under the name uncultured bacterium. RNAcentral describes it as "partial 16S ribosomal RNA". It matches the Rfam family "Bacterial small subunit ribosomal RNA", at positions 524 to 776 of the family's 1533-position model. The record is from RNAcentral.